AAUUAGAUAAUUCGCGCUACGCGACAUCCAUAUUUGAAUCGAACAGGAAGUAUCGGACCACAGUUUUCCGCGAACGGAAUCUCGAGAAUCGAGAAGUUUCGUCUCUCUUCGUUUCCGGUUUGUUGCGCGCGAUCAUUCCUGUCGAGAUGUUUCCGAGAAAUAAUUGUGAUUGAGUAUCCUAAAUAUCGAAGGAAUAGAUGAUAUAAAUAUACACUCAGCUACAAGUAAACGGGCAUAAUAUCAGGAAUGUAACAAAAAAAUAUCGAGGGUCAUUAUGUAGACAUUGUAAUUUACAUCGGUAGUGCAAAAGUGUGACGUCACAUUCGGUCAGGGUCAACUCUGCGGGACCCCCGAUACUCUUUGAACACCAUUAAAGACAGAUUGGCGGUCUACGCGAUCACGGAUAUGGAAAAAUAAACAUGGCGGAAAGGAAGGAUCUACAUCGAAAUAAUCGUGGAAUAAAGAUUCCUGGACUUUUCCAGCAGCUUUAUCGCGGGAAAAUGUUUCGCGCGGUUCCCCUGGCAGUUCUGGAAAUCCAUCGAUCCGGAAUCGCUCUACUCGCCUCCUCGCAAUUAUUAAUCCGACGAAGCGUGUCACGCGGCGCCGUCGCUCGGAGGAGACGGCGGAACUACACCACCUUGUUACGGAGCGAAAAGGAAAGUCUGGCACAAACUCGGAGCAUUAAUUCCCAGUCUCGGCGCGCUCGAUUUUCGUCGCGGCGUCGAGUCCGGUAGAUUCACGACGUGAUUGUCGAUCCUCCACGAGAACUCCGCGAGUUCGCUUCGCGGCGCCGAUGGGAACCAAGCGCGCGCGAGGCCGCCCGGCAGACUGAGAGGAGCGAGCAGUCGACGCGGCCAGUUGGUAGUCAG
RNAcentral lists this long non-coding RNA (869 nucleotides) under Camponotus floridanus (Florida carpenter ant). RNAcentral's name for it is "uncharacterized LOC105248695, transcript variant X1". Lineage: Eukaryota; Metazoa; Arthropoda; Insecta; Hymenoptera; Formicidae. The record is from RNAcentral.